Molecule: long non-coding RNA, 179 nt
Organism: Aricia agestis (brown argus)
Lineage: Eukaryota; Metazoa; Arthropoda; Insecta; Lepidoptera; Lycaenidae
Exons: 3
Source: RefSeq, a predicted model, not a curated record
UUUGCGACUUUUUUUGGUUUCGUUUUUGAUUGUGGUACGUCUGGCGCGCAGAAGAGCUCGCGGGCGACUAAGUGCACUGCUGCUAUAUAGAUUAUGUUGAAUGUGACCAAGCAUUGCGUUGCGUUGUCGAGUCUAGCACGUAGUACAUACUAUGUCAGUGACUCCAUAAUAGUUUUUUU